GCAAGUCGAACGAAGAUAUUAUUUAGACGACUUCGGUUUAAAGAAUAAUCAUCUUAGUGGCGAACGGGUGAGUAACAGGUAGGAAACCUACCCUAAAGACGGGGAUAACAUUUGGAAACGGAUGCUAAUACCGGAUAGUAUACGGAAUCGCAUGGUUCUGUAUUUAAAGAUGCGUGUGCAUCACUUUAGGAGGGUCCUGCUUCGUAUUAGAUAGUUGGUGAGGUAGUGGCUCACCAAGUCAACGAUGCGUAGCCGGCCUGAGAGGGUGAAC
Molecule: ribosomal RNA, 271 nt
Filed under: uncultured bacterium
Lineage: Bacteria
Description: partial 16S ribosomal RNA
Rfam family: Bacterial small subunit ribosomal RNA
Source: RNAcentral